AACGAACGCUGGCGGCAGGCCUAACACAUGCAAGUCGAGCGAACCCUUCGGGGUUAACGGCGGACGGGUUAGUAACGCGUGGGAAUAUACCCUUUGGUACGGAAUAGCCUCGGGAAACUGAGAGUAAUACCGUAUGUGCCCUUCGGGGGAAAGAUUUAUCGCCAAAGGAUUAGCCCGCGUUGGAUUAGAUAGUUGGUGGGGUAAUGGCCUACCAAGUCUACGAUCCAUAGCUGGUUUGAGAGGAUGAUCAGCAACACUGGGACUGAGACACGGCCCAGACUCCUACGGGAGGCAGCAGUGGGGAAUCUUAGACAAUGGGCGCAAGCCUGAUCUAGCCAUGCCGCGUGGACGAUGAAGGCCUUAGGGUUGUAAAGUCCUUUCAGAUGGGAAGAUAAUGACGGUACCAUCAGAAGAAGCCCCGGCUAACUACCGUG
RNAcentral lists this ribosomal RNA (434 nucleotides) under uncultured bacterium. Its description in RNAcentral is "bacterial SSU rRNA". It matches the Rfam family "Bacterial small subunit ribosomal RNA", at positions 29 to 507 of the family's 1533-position model. The record is from RNAcentral.